AGCAGCAUGGUGUAAUAGUUUGAGCAUUGGACUAUGACUCUAGAGAACAGGGUUCAAAUCCCUGCUUAGCUG
This 72-nucleotide transfer RNA is filed under the name Phrynosoma platyrhinos (Desert horned lizard). RNAcentral's name for it is "tRNA-OTHER". Lineage: Eukaryota; Metazoa; Chordata; Lepidosauria; Squamata; Phrynosomatidae. The record is from RNAcentral.